This 1337-nucleotide long non-coding RNA is filed under the name Macaca mulatta (Rhesus monkey). RNAcentral's name for it is "lncRNA (ENSMMUG00000056595.1)". Lineage: Eukaryota; Metazoa; Chordata; Mammalia; Primates; Cercopithecidae. The record is from RNAcentral.
AAACAAGCCAUGGACAAGCUCUUCUCUUUUUCCCACUUCCAAAAACAAGUCCCAUCAUGAAGGAAGAAGAGUUGUUGUGGCUUCUCUGAGUGCCUUGUUCAAAAUGGAAAGAUGCAGAAAAAAAAAGAAGCAAAACACAUGUUCAUCACUUUGUUCUCCUGAUUUCCCACCUCUACGAUUCCAAAGUUAGUCAAGCAUGUUUAUGUAGAUACCGGUAAAUAUUUAAAAGGAACAUGAAAAGCUUUGCCAUACAUUUGAUUUUAAAUCAGACAAUAAAGGAAAGCCUGUUAAAUGACACAGAUUUAUCAGACAAUGUGUAAACUUCAUGUGAUAUUUUCCAGAUAGUACUUCUUAACAAUUAAUGUGCAUACCAAUCACCUGGGUCUUGUUACAAAAAAUUCUGAAUCAGUAGGACUGCCAUGGAGCCUGAGAUGCUGCAUUUCAAAUAAACUUCCAAUAGAUGCAGUCUCUGUCUCAUUCAGGUCCUUUCCUUGAGUAGAAAGGGUUGAAAGGGUAUUUCUGGAUUGUUGCUACAUUUUGAGAGCCAAAGUGUAACAAGGAGAAAUGAUUCCCGUGUUUAUUUAAACAAUGUGAGUAUCUCUUCCUUCUACUCGCCAGAUCACUACUUUGUUUCGACUGCCAGAUCAUGGAUGAUAAGAAUAAAUAGCUUCCUACAGAUAUAUCUAAACAUCACCAAUAUUUCUUCAAGAGCUGUUAAUUUUAGAAAUUCAGAGCGGCUCUCGGGCCACAGCUGCUUGCCAGGCCGUCCAAGUACCACCAGAAAAUGCACAGUUGCAUAUUGACCUUGUAGUAAUUGAGGUUAUGAAAAGGCUCUUGUUCCCAGAACUCUUGAAUGAACGCCUCUCCCAGCGGGACCCUGCAGGACCCUUGAAGAGAGCUGACCCACUGAACUACUGAACUGCCCAGAACCUCAACUUUGGGCUGUGCGGAGGUCAGGUCAAGAAGCAAAUGUUAAAGAUGGGACGUGAGGAAUGCCAGAUCGUCACACAUUGAGCUGAAGUCAUUGAUUCUUUGCCUUGUCCUGCUGACUGCUCUUCCUCAUCCAUUCUGCACGAAGUGAAGCAGGGGAACUGAAAUCUGUUAGCACUUUCCCGUAGGUAUCAUGUGGAAAUCUUCUCCUGAUGUGUGUCUCCCCCAUUAUUAAAAGCAAGGGAGGGGUUGCUAGUACAGAUUUCACUGGUGAAGCAAACUGAACCAUCUGCUGAACUCUCUAGCAGUCUACUGGCUGAGCCUGGCGCAAGAUUCCACGGCUAAACUGUUCCUCUCUCACCAGUAAUAGCCAUUACAGUCAAGUGAGAAUUAACAUGAAAGUGGUG